RNAcentral lists this ribosomal RNA (252 nucleotides) under uncultured bacterium. RNAcentral's name for it is "partial 16S ribosomal RNA". It matches the Rfam family "Bacterial small subunit ribosomal RNA", at positions 524 to 776 of the family's 1533-position model. The record is from RNAcentral.
UACGUAGGGUGCGAGCGUUAAUCGGAAUUACUGGGCGUAAAGCGUGCGCAGGCGGUUUUGUAAGCCAGAUGUGAAAUCCCCGGGCUUAACCUGGGAAUGGCAUUUGGGACUGCAAGGCUGGAGUGCGGCAGAGGAGACUGGAAUUCCUGGUGUAGCAGUGAAAUGCGUAGAUAUCAGGAGGAACACCGAUGGCGAAGCAGGUCUCUGGGCUGACACUGACGCUCAUGCACGAAAGCGUGGGGAGCAAACAGG